This 307-nucleotide ribosomal RNA is filed under the name uncultured eukaryote. RNAcentral's name for it is "partial 18S ribosomal RNA". It matches the Rfam family "Eukaryotic small subunit ribosomal RNA", at positions 1470 to 1796 of the family's 1831-position model. The record is from RNAcentral.
CCCUUAGACGUUCUGGGCCGCACGCGCGCUACACUGACGAAGGCAACGAGCUUUCCUUUACCGAAAGGUACGGGUAAUCUUUUGAAACUUCGUCGUGCUGGGGAUAGAUCCUUGCAAUUUUUGAUCUUAAACGAGGAAUGCCUAGUAAGCGCAAGUCAUCAACUUGCGUUGAUUACAUCCCUGCCCUUUGUACACACCGCCCGUCGCUACUACCGAUUGAAUGGUUUAGUGAGGCCUUCGGAUCCGCGACUCGUUUGUGGAGAAGUUGGACAAACUCAGUCAUUUAGAGGAAGUAAAAGUCGUAACA